CCAGUACAGACUACUAAUUUCUGCUCAGUUUACUGAUUUCUUAAAUUCAGCCCUUGGGAACUGGCAAGUGCCAUUAAUAAAAUGGAAGUGUGACAUUGGCAUUUGAUUCUGGAUUAUAUUUGCUUAUGCAUGUGCAUGGUUGUUUCUCAGGGCCUCAAGAGUGAUAUGAAAUUCUCUUUGAGAUUUUUUUUCUUCAAGCUACACAGCACCAACUUCUCUCUUCCUCAGAAAUAAUUCUUCUGGACAACUAAUCUGUGCCAUGGAUGUAGGUUCUAUCCAGUUGUUUACUGAAUAAUGGUACACCAAACAGGACUGAACUCUUUGAAGAGGACCUUGCCAGUGUGGAAUAGCUGAGAAGACCUACAGGGCCUAUUCCUGUUUACACAUUCUAGCUUCAUAUUUGACUUUCUUCUUUCACAUAAUACUCUUGACCUUUGAUCAAAAUGCUUUCUAACUGUUUUUCUGGCAGUACAUUUAAGUAUUACUUAAAAUUUCUUUGAAGUUUGAAAAUUAACCCAUAAAAGUCAAUUUGAUUUUGUUUUGCUUUUGUCUUUCCCUGUAACUUUGGAGCGGGGGAUGUUUUCAUUUGAAAUAAUUUCAAGAUUUCUUUCACCUUCACAUUCUCAGUUCUUCCCCACAUCAACACUUACAUUACUUUUUCAAAACUGUUUCAGCCUUACAAUUUAUAUGUCUUUUGUACAAUCUUGAUAUUUUCUUUUUUUCCCUAAAAAACUACAGUUUUUCACUGUAGUUAAAAGUCUUUUGAAUUUAAAAGAAACAAGAGGCCCCCAAAUAAUCCAAAAUGUUGUCACUAGACCCUAUGCAUUAGAUGAUUCCUUUUCUUUAUCAAAAGCCUAAUCUGUUUCUUUUUUUUUUUUGUUUGGUAGUCAACAUUACCACAUAUGUUGUUUGCUCUUUCUUCAAUACCCAUGAAAUACAAAUAAUAAUUUAUUCUGAAUCUCAGAGCAAUUAUUUAACUUUCAGUUGCAUCCAUUUCUGCCUGGAUAUUGACGUUUUUUCUUCAUUCUAUUUUUGUGAGAUAAUUUCCACGUCUUUCAUAGAAUAUGUGUUGAUUUUUACCACUCUUCUGGAAUUUACAUUAUCUAUUCUGAAUUUUUAAGCAUUUCUAUCUAUACUUCUUAAACUUUAUAACACAUACAUAUGUACUUUCUGAGCCUUGAGCAAUGCCACAUUGUAAUACACAAUUCAAAUACAAAGUCCUAUAUAUAUUGAUGAUAUUUUUCUACAGCCAGAAUAAUGGCUUAUUAUGUUUGUGUCUUGGUGUGCUGAAUUUAAUGCUGUCAGACACUGUGAAAUUUAAACUCAUCAUUAGCCACAAUGAGGAUAGGAAUUUAAAUUCACAAUGUAGGCUGAAAGCCGCAGGCCAUAUUUUUUUGGUUUAAAUAAUUUCUUUUCUGGAGUUGCUUUCUGUGUGCUAAAUUAUUUCUAGCUUAUAGGAGUCUGCUAUGAAUAAGAUUUGAAAUGUAUUGCAGAGCAGACGUUAUCAGAAUCUAUGUUUUUCACAGCUUUACCUGCAUACCUGCUUUAUAAACUGAUCUAGGAAAAACAGUGAGGUCCAAGAUGUUACUGGUGGUGAGCUAACAUUUCCUCAGAGUAAGGCUUUGUAUCAAACUGUGACUGCCAUGGACUCAAACAGUCCUCAAACCUUCAUGUGAGGCUUUCUGCUACUUUCCACCUAAAUUUAGAGUCAAUUCAUGUAAGUUUGUAAAGCAUGAUGUAUGUCAUGACAAAUGCUUCUAUAAUGUCACCAUGCACUUUGUGGUUACUAAAUACAUUUACUUGUGCUUCAAGUCAGGAUAAAAAUUUGCUUAAGGUUCAAUAAAAAUAAAAAAGCCACUUUGUAGGGGUUUCUAAUAUAAUUCAGAGAAAAUGAAGUGCACUUCUGACAUGCAUUACAUGUCUUACAGUACGAGGUACAUCAGUAUAUUCUUAGAGAAAAGUCAGGUGCCUACAAUAUCUCCUGAAAAUGUAACAGUAUUUCUCCUAUUCUGAAAGCUUUACAAAUUGAAAUCCAAAUUAUUUCAUCUUCUAGCACCCAAUGAGAAUACUGUUCCAGAACAAAGCAAAAUUUUUUUGGCCUUGUAGUGUCACCAUUAUAGUGUGAGUGUUUGGAACCAAAUUCUCUUUUUUAUUGAACUGAAAUCCUACAGUGUUCUGCAACCUGAUCCUUAUCUCAUACAACACUUUUUUUUUUUUUUUCCAGAUAUAAAUAAACCACAAGCAAUUUAUUCAAAG
Long non-coding RNA from Taeniopygia guttata (zebra finch), 2256 nucleotides. RefSeq lists it as uncharacterized. The record is from RefSeq and is a predicted model, not a curated record. NCBI's taxonomy places the organism in Eukaryota, Metazoa, Chordata, Aves, Passeriformes, Estrildidae.